CUCAAUUUGGACUAGCCACAUUUCAAGUGCUUGACAGUCACAGGUGACUAAUGGCUCUCCUAUGGGUUAUAGCCCAGCUCUUGACUCUUUGAUCCACAAGGAUAAGAACCACAUCCACUUCCACAUCUCCAGGUAUGAGGCAGAUAAAUAGCAGAGAGUGAUUACACGUAACUCUUCUCACCACGGAUUCCGGCAUUUGUGGGCAGCUGCAGAAGAGUAGGUGGGAGGAUCUCCCAGAUUAUGAGGCCAGUUUUUCUGUGGCUCAGAGAGUGCCAGUGACUCGCUCAAGAUAAAACAGCUUGUUAGUGGCAGGGAUGGAGCCCAGAAAUCCUGUUUCCUGUCCUCAGGAGUGUGUGUUCGAAAGAAGUUCUUGGCAAAGGAAAUCAACAAUGUUUUAGAUCAAAGCUGUUCCAUUUUCCUGGAUCCUAGUGGGGAGCUAACAUGGCGCAGAGCCACAGCCAAUCCAAGGACAUGUGGUAAGAAUGAUAAAUAAACCUUUGUUAUUUUAAGACAGUGAAAGUUUGCAGUCAGU
This 532-nucleotide long non-coding RNA is filed under the name Pan troglodytes (chimpanzee). Its description in RNAcentral is "long non-coding RNA NONPTRT012134". The record is from RNAcentral. Lineage: Eukaryota; Metazoa; Chordata; Mammalia; Primates; Hominidae.